UACGGAGGGGGCUAGCGUUGUUCGGAAUUACUGGGCGUAAAGCGCACGUAGGCGGCUUUGUAAGUUAGAGGUGAAAGCCCGGAGCUCAACUCCGGAAUUGCCUUAAGACUGCAUCGCUUGAAUCAUGGAGAGGUGAGUGGAAUUCCGAGUGUAGAGGUGAAAUUCGUAGAUAUUCGGAAGAACACCAGUGGCGAAGGCGACUCACUGGACAUGUAUUGACGCUGAGGUGCGAAAGCGUGGGGAGCAAACAGG
RNAcentral lists this ribosomal RNA (252 nucleotides) under uncultured bacterium. RNAcentral describes it as "partial 16S ribosomal RNA". It matches the Rfam family "Bacterial small subunit ribosomal RNA", at positions 524 to 776 of the family's 1533-position model. The record is from RNAcentral.